Leptosomus discolor (cuckoo roller) is the source of this 2787-nucleotide non-coding RNA. The record is from RefSeq and is a predicted model, not a curated record. Lineage: Eukaryota; Metazoa; Chordata; Aves; Leptosomiformes; Leptosomidae.
AGUACCCGACGUAUAGUGACACGAGUUUGCUGAACAGUCCUGUUGCAAUGGAAACAGAUGGGCCUUUAAUUGAAGAUUUGCAGAUGCUGAAAAAGACAGUUAAAGAGGAGGCUUGUCAGGCACAGAAAGAUCAGAAAAAAGAUCGUCCUCUUGUGCGACGCAAGUCAGAACUGCCUCAGGAUAUCUAUACCAUGAAAGCCUUGGAAUCACAUUGCAGAGCUGAUGAAUUAAUAUCACAUGAUGGGCAUUAAACUAUUACAGUGAAAUAUUAUUUUGGAAGAAAAGAUUUUUUUUCUGGACUCAGUUCUACAGUAGAACUUACUUUUUGUGCCAUACCAAUCAGUUACACACAAAGUCAAAGCUUUCUUCAACCCAGUUCUGUAGGCAAUAACUUAGAGUAUGCAGCUCAAGAUUAGUAGUUCAAACAAUGGUAAAUUACCCAAUUCCAUAUGCAGAAUGUUGGGUUGACUAUAAUCAAGUGGACGCAAUUUCCUGGAGGUGUUACCAUGGUACCAGCUAGCUGAUAACGUGCAGUUUUUAUAGUCAUAUUUGAGAAACGCAUUCUAUACGCUCUUUCCGGCUAAGUGAAUGACCAAUAGUUGGUACUAAUGAGAAAUUAAUGUUUUCAAAAUUAAAAUUAUUUCAAAUUUAAGUAUUAAACUUUUUCUACGAUUUCUCAACUUCACAGUUGUUUCGACAUUAUUGCUGUCUUGUAAUAUACCAGCAGUUUUGAAAAUACACAGUUAUUCUUUCGUAUUAUAAAACAUGGCUUACAAACUGGUGAUUUUCAUGACAAUCCUCAAUCAUCAUUCCUUUCUAAGAAUUCUGUAAAUUUAUUUCUCCUUUACUUAGGAUAAAGAUAUAUAUCUAUAUAUACCAUGUCCUAAUACUUUAUGUAUAUUUAAAGCCAUAUUUUCCAGUCUUUAGUGUAUAAUACGGCACCAGUAUUCCAGGUGUGAACUGGUAGAAGAAUUUUUCCUAAAAUGAAAAUUUGUUUACUAUGACUGGGAAUAGACUGAAUAUAAAAUAUCAUUUUAAGUUUUUUCAGGUCAAUAAAAUACUCUUUCACUGUUUUCUCCCUUAUCUGAGCUUUUAAUACUCAGCAUUUUUCUUGGGCUCUAGGAGUUCAAUAUUCUGUGGCAGAUACUACGCGUGAUUUCAGUUGCAUCAGUUUUUAUCUGAAAGACGAUCAUGACCUUUCAGGAAACACAACAUCACAAGCUUAUUAAAAUAAGAAAAAGAACAGACCCUUGAAAUGCGUUCUGUUUCAUUUUAAAUGAGUCUAAGAGCUGAGGAGAUAGUGACCAUAAUUUUACCGUGAAAAUAUUUUUUGUUGUUGUUGUAAAGAGCACAUGUGCUGCAAAUACACCUCACAAGUGAACUGAAAAUGCAUCUGAGUUGCUGAUGAUCUUCAAAUGCUGCUAUAUAUUCCACAAGAUUACUUGCAUGUAAUGAGCUUUUUGUUGUAGAUGGAAAAGCACGGGAGGAAAAUCUCUUUAAAAAUAUAGUGCUUUGUCUUCGAUAUUUGAUUUCUCUCAGGGUGGCCAGUAUUUUGACUUACUUAUCCUGCUUACAAGCUGUUUGAAAUGUGUUCUGCUAUUCUAAAUGGGUGAUUAGUUUCUUUUGUCUCUGGCAGUAACAUGAUAUAACUUAAUGUUUAAUGUCUUGAUGCAUAAAGAGAUAAAAACGUGGCUUCUUUAAAAGUAGUUUUGUUUUACUUUAUAAGGAAGUAUAAGGUCUCCUGCAUCCAUUAAAAAAAAAAGUUGCGCAAAGCAGACGUUCAUAGUAACCUUGUGCAGAUGUAGUGCCUGCUGUUCGUUGGUUGCAUUUAACAUUCAAUUUCCAAUAUUUGUUACGUUGUCUAUUGGAAGAAAAUUGUGGGUGGUAAAUAUUGGCUUGCAACAACAAAAUUUAAAGACCAACCCAACCUUUAAGUGGAAUGUCCACUGUGUCUGAAAACGUUUCCUGUAAAACUUGAAAAGGAUAUGCUUUACCAUUAGGAUAAACUAUGUUAAAACAGUUUAAAGAUGCCUUCUCCUUUUGAGGGAAAAAGGGUGCUUUUUUAAUUGUGUAAAGCAAUGUCUGUGUAUUUUGAUAUACCAUUGUUUGAACUUCCAUCUUUAGCUGGUAGAUUAUCAGUUACCUUUGAUUUUGGGUGUUCAGUAUGUUUGUGCAAGAGGUUGCUGAAAGGAAUUAUUCUUCUGUUACCCAAGGAAAAAAAAACAACCUGUAUAUCAAUGUUUGAUUGUGUGAUGCUCAACGUAUAAGAACAUCUUUCACUGUCUAGAUUUUAUUUUUGUCCUUUAUUGAAGAUAAACACUCACCAAAAGGGAGAUAUGGUAUUUUUAAAGGCUUAAAGUUCACCAUAAAUUCAUAUUGGAAGUUUUGGGCCACUGAGCAUUUGCUUGGGCAAUAUUCCAAAAUCUAUCACCACUAAUGGUUUAGCAUGUUUAUUACCAAUAUUUAUAUACUUAUAAAUCUAUACUAAACUGUUCUAAAACUAAUAAAUCCGAAAUGAAAAGAAAAAUUGAAGUAGAAUUUUGGUGACUGUUGUUCUUCGUAAAGUUCUGUGUCUGACACCUUCCCCCAUUUUCCAAAAUUACACCUGUACAUCAGGAAUGUCAAAAGUAAUAUUACAAGUGUCUUUUUAGUGUGGCUUUAGUAUGGCUUCAUUUUAAUAUUGUACAUACAUUGUACCUUGUUUUAUGGUAAUAAUAAAAAUGUAGACUUCAUAUUUUGUACAGAAUUGUCCUAUGUACAGAAUAAAAAGUUCCUAGAAACAGCAAA